This is a long non-coding RNA of Alosa sapidissima (American shad), 724 nucleotides long. RefSeq lists it as uncharacterized. The record is from RefSeq and is a predicted model, not a curated record. The transcript is spliced from 3 exons. Lineage: Eukaryota; Metazoa; Chordata; Actinopteri; Clupeiformes; Clupeidae.
GUAUAGGAGUUACACAGGCUAUAGUACACACAUAUUUGUUUGUACUCCGUAUGAACCAUGCUUUAUGUGGACUGUGUUUCACAGUUUGUCAUCUAGAGCGAUGCUCUUUAGUGAAGUGAAGUCUCGGCUGGUCAACUAGCUUCCAACCAACCCAAGUUAGUUGACAAUUGAGAGAAUGCGCGUGCUAACGUUUGCGUCAUAGCCAUAACCCGGACGUGAAGAGCACUGGGGAAAAACUCCGAUCCGGUCGAAGGAAAGACCAAGGAGAGCGAUCGCUUCUGCUCGAGAGCCCGGAGACUUCGAGGCACCACAAAGACAGAGCAGCUCCAAGCAAGCGGCCGCACACACCUCCAGACGUGGAGACGUGAGACAUCUGGGCCAGCCAUGGCAGAUCCAGCCCUCACAGAUGCCUGAUGCACUUUGAUCUUACCCAGGGUUGAAGGGCCUGUGUGUGAGGACAGCGCGGGCUCCUUGACCACCGCGGCGUACCCCCACACCACCCCUGCACCCCCCCCACCCCACCCCCAUAUCUUCUGGGAGUGCUUUCAGUCCGGCGUGCUGGAGAAAGGGGCCAGCCUCUGGAGCACAGCAGUGGCGGAGGCUGUGUGUGUGUGUGUGAGAGAGAGAGCGUGUGUGGCUGCUUAGAAAGUGUGUGUGUGUGUGAGAGAGAGAGCGUGUGUGGCUGCUUAGAAAGUGUGUGUGUGUGUGUGAAAGAGGAAAAUAG